UACGUAGGGAGCGAGCGUUGUCCGGAAUCAUUGGGCGUAAAGCGCGUGUAGGCGGCUUGAUAAGUCUGGUGUGAAAUCUUGGGGCUCAACCCCAAGCCUGCACUGGAUACUGUCAAGCUUGAGUCCGGGAGGGGAGAGCGGAAUUCCUAGUGUAGCGGUGAAAUGCGCAGAUAUUAGGAAGAACACCGGUGGCGAAGGCGGCUCUCUGGAACGGUACUGACGCUGAGACGCGAAAGCGUGGGGAGCGAACAGG
RNAcentral lists this ribosomal RNA (253 nucleotides) under uncultured bacterium. RNAcentral describes it as "partial 16S ribosomal RNA". It matches the Rfam family "Bacterial small subunit ribosomal RNA", at positions 524 to 776 of the family's 1533-position model. The record is from RNAcentral.